RNAcentral lists this long non-coding RNA (1377 nucleotides) under Strigops habroptila (Kakapo). RNAcentral's name for it is "lncRNA (ENSSHBG00005011485.1)". Lineage: Eukaryota; Metazoa; Chordata; Aves; Psittaciformes; Psittacidae. The record is from RNAcentral.
UUAAGUCAUACCACACUGAGCUCUUUAUUACCAGAGAUUUUUUGGACAGAAGCAUAUAAUCUAGAUUUUCUGAAUCAAUAGGCAGAUGGUAGAUACUUUUUUCUUUUUCAGUAUUUUUUCCAACUUGUACAUUUCAGAUUUACAUAACUUGUUUUUUCACACAUCUGAAGAAACAUUGACAGAAAUCUAAAUUUAUCUUGGAUGCAUUUACAACUAUUUUUCUUUUUUGCCUGCCAUGUCUCUGUCUAGACUUCUGCCAAAAAGCAGGAACUUUCAACUUUCUCUUCUGUGGAUGUAAAUAUCCUUAAACAUUGUGCAGAGAGUGGCAUGACUGUCACUUUCUCAUGAGGAUGUGGGACCCAUUACUCCACCACUGAAACACAUUGUGUUUCCAUUGGCCAAGGUAAGCAGCUCUGCCAUCUUCCUGCCACACACUGCAUUACUGUGCAUCUCACCGAAAUACAUGAUCAUUGUGACUCCAAACUGGUUGGGUUUUUUACUAUUGUUUUCAAUUUGGUUCACUGGAGCUGCAUCCAGCUCUCAAUUUGACUUCAUGUUUUAUUAGUCAUUAUUUUUGCAAAGGCCUUAAUUCCCCUCUAAAACAUUUUUAUUAAAACAUCAAUUUCUCAGUGCCACACUUCAUGAGCAGAUUUUGCAGCAACUUCAAAGAGAUGCAGAUGUUUACUUGGUGCGGUGAUAUCUAAGGCUGCCUACUGGCAAAGAAAAAUUCAUAAACAUCUCUAAGAAACUUUGCUGUGGUAAUGAUAACAUUUCCUUCUAAUGUUUUAGCAAGGCUAAUAUUUCCCAGUCUCAACAGGCAUGUUUCAUAGACACAGGCAAAAGCAUUGUUAUCUACUCACAGUCUGAGCCAUGUCAGAUACACUGCUAUGGGGAAAGUAACUCUCAGUGGUGAUACCUCGGGCUUUUGGCAAAGGGCACAAGAGGCCACCGGUUAGUUUGCUGUGUGGGGUUAUCAGUAGGCUUGGAAUAAGGAAACCAAAGUUCACUUUCUGCUCGAUUUUCUAUACCCUCCAACGUGAUUUUGAGUGGCCAUUUAGCUUUGUGUGCUUCAGUUCCUGUUGUUAAAGGGAUGAUAAUAUAUCCUGGCCUUUAAUCAAUUUAUUGCCAGGUGGCAGAAUCUAUCUCCCAGUGCACCAAGGGCUUCCUACUUCCUAGAGGGUCCUGGGUUUUUUAAAGUGCUGUGGUAGUAAAAUGAAGAAUUGCUAAGGAUUUAUUCUGGAGGAGUUUCUCCUUACUUGUGGUACGUGAGCCUGGAGCUAGUCUGAGAUCUCAUUUUGGGAUCACAUCUAUCUGAGGGUAACCAGGCAGGCAAUGGUCCUCUCCACAUUGAGAUGAUGGAAUGAAGCACACAUGGCC